GACGAACGCUGGCGGCGUGCUUAACACAUGCAAGUCGAACGGAAAGGCCCUGCUUUUGUGGGGUGCUCGAGUGGCGAACGGGUGAGUAACACGUGAGUAACCUGCCCUUGACUUUGGGAUAACUUCAGGAAACUGGGGCUAAUACCGGAUAGGAGCUCCUGCUGCAUGGUGGGGGUUGGAAAGUUUCGGCGGUUGGGGAUGGACUCGCGGCUUAUCAGCUUGUUGGUGGGGUAGUGGCUUACCAAGGCUUUGACGGGUAGCCGGCCUGAGAGGGUGACCGGCCACAUUGGGACUGAGAUACAGCCCAGACUCCUACGGGAGGCAGCAGGGGGGAAUAUUGCACAAUGGGCGGAAGCCUGAUGCAGCAACGCCGCGUGCGGGAUGACGGCCUUCGGGUUGUAAACCGCUUUCGCCUGUGACGAAGCGUGAGUGACGGUAAUGGGUAAAGAAGCACCGGCUAACUACGUG
Molecule: ribosomal RNA, 468 nt
Filed under: uncultured bacterium
Lineage: Bacteria
Description: partial 16S ribosomal RNA
Rfam family: Bacterial small subunit ribosomal RNA
Source: RNAcentral